UACGAAGGGGGCUAGCGUUGUUCGGAAUUACUGGGCGUAAAGCGUGCGCAGGCGGUUUUCCAAGUCAGUGGUGAAAGCCCGGAGCUCAACUCCGGAAUUGCCAUUGAAACUGUUGAACUUGAGUACGAGAGAGGUGAGUGGAAUUCCCAGUGUAGAGGUGAAAUUCGUAGAUAUUGGGAGGAACACCGGUGGCGAAGGCGGCUUUCUGGUCCGAAACUGACGCUGAGAUGCGAAAGCCAGGGGAGCAAACGGG
Molecule: ribosomal RNA, 253 nt
Filed under: uncultured prokaryote
Description: partial 16S ribosomal RNA
Rfam family: Bacterial small subunit ribosomal RNA
Source: RNAcentral